Non-coding RNA from Salmo salar (Atlantic salmon), 461 nucleotides. The record is from the annotation of a RefSeq genome assembly. NCBI's taxonomy places the organism in Eukaryota, Metazoa, Chordata, Actinopteri, Salmoniformes, Salmonidae.
AGUCAAGACAACCACUCCCAGUCUGUGCUUCUACUUUUACAGAAUUUUAGAACUUUUUCACAAUGAGAGUUGUAGAAUGUGUGUUCCUCCUGGCUCUCAUCUCAGCUGUUCAGGGGCAGUCACUCACCUCUUCUGAGCCAUUAGUGAAGAGCCCUGGAGAGUCAGUAACACUGUACUGUACUGUGUCUGGUCUGCCCCUGAGCUGGUUACACUGGAUCCGUCAGAAACCAGGGAAAGGUCUAGAGUGGAUUGGACGCAUUGACAGUGGCACUGGCACUAUAUUUUCCCAGUCUCUACAGGGUCAGUUCACCAUCACCAAAGACAACUCCAAAAACCAGCUGUACUUAGAGGUGAAAAGCCUGAAGACUGAAGAUUCUGCUGUUUAUUAUUGUGCCAGAGACACAGUGACACAGGAGGCUGCAGCGGCGUACAAAAACUGCUCAACACUGAACCCAGUUUGA